CGGGGUUUUGCCAUCUUGGCCAGGCUGGUCUCGAACUCCUGACCUCAGGGGAUCCACCUACCUCAGCCUCCCAAAGUGCUGAGAUUACAGGCGUGAGCCACUGCACCCGGCCGCCAUGGGGUUUAAAUUUCUACAAAGAGACUGGGGAUGGGGAUGGGGAUGUGGAGCUUCCUGUCCAUCCCCCACCUCAGCACUGUUCACUGUGUCCAAAUCUAAGAUGCCAGCCAGAGAACUAAGAUCAAGUGUGGUCUUCAGGAAUGGCUUGCUCCAGCUGCAGCAUAGCCUGUGCAGUGCAACUUAAGAUUUUUUCCAAAAGAUACUAAGCAGCAGGCCCCAUGUUGGGGAGUCAGGAUGGGGGUCUCUGCCCUGACAGAACUCACAUCUUUGGGAGGUGACUCCCUGUCCUGUUGUGUUCCAGACAUCAACGAGUGUGCAACACCAUCGAAAGUGUCAUGCGGAAAAUUCUCGGACUGCUGGAACACAGAGGGGAGCUACGACUGCGUGUGCAGCCCGGGAUAUGAGCCUGUUUCUGGGGCAAAAACAUUCAAGAAUGAGAGCGAGAACACCUGUCAAGAUGUAGACGAAUGUCAGCAGAACCCAACGCUCUGUAAAAGCUACGGCACCUGCGUCAACACCCUUGGCAGCUAUACCUG
This 653-nucleotide long non-coding RNA is filed under the name Pan troglodytes (chimpanzee). RNAcentral's name for it is "long non-coding RNA NONPTRT008004". Lineage: Eukaryota; Metazoa; Chordata; Mammalia; Primates; Hominidae. The record is from RNAcentral.